ACUGCUAGGCGGAAAUAGCCCUUGUCCUGCACGAUCCAGCGCAGGGAAAGGGAGAGCACCGGAGUAUGAAACGCUCCCAUGCUCAUGUCAGAGUGGGUGAAAAUGAGGAUAUGUCCGAAUUCAGCUCUGAACUCGGACAACCCUUUUAAGGGCUAUUCCAGGGUUUAACCUAUUCUUAGGAAAGGUGGGGGUCUGACAGCCGCAAUCCCUGCUGAUCAGCUGUUUCAGGGUAGCUACAUAGCUUUUUCGGGGUAACAACACGGCUCUAUCCAUUUUAUAGUGGACAGAGCUUGUUACUGCAGUGCUGCUCCCAUUCACUUCAGUGGGAGCAGCGCUAUAGUUAGCCAUCCCAGAGAUAGGCCAUCAAUAGUAAAAUCCUGUAAAAACCCUAAGGUGUAAUCUUGCCGUAAUUAUGCACUUCAUGGGCACAUCCACAUGUAACUUGCAAAUCAUACAGAUUUUGGUGUGAAUUUGAUGUG
Bufo bufo (common toad) is the source of this 479-nucleotide long non-coding RNA. RefSeq lists it as uncharacterized. NCBI's taxonomy places the organism in Eukaryota, Metazoa, Chordata, Amphibia, Anura, Bufonidae. The record is from RefSeq and is a predicted model, not a curated record. The transcript has 2 exons.